RNAcentral lists this ribosomal RNA (731 nucleotides) under Vermamoeba sp. RNAcentral's name for it is "SSU rRNA". It matches the Rfam family "Eukaryotic small subunit ribosomal RNA", at positions 605 to 1337 of the family's 1831-position model. The record is from RNAcentral. Lineage: Eukaryota; Tubulinea; Echinamoebida; Vermamoebidae.
UAAAGUUGUUGCAGUUCCAAAGCUCGUAGUUGGAUUUCGGAAGGUCCUUAGCAGUCCGCCCCUUCGGGGAGCGGGCUGCUGGCCUCCUAUGAUCCUAACGGUCCUCAUCCGCGAGGGUGGGGAAUCAACCGCUAGGAUCGUUUACUUCGAGGAAGCUAGAGUGUUCAAAGCAGGCGUAACUCGCCUCCGAAUACGUUAGCAUGGGAUAAUGGAAUACGACUUCGGUCUUGUUUCGUUGGCUUCGCUUGGCUGAAGUAAUGAUUGAUAGGGACAGUUGGGGGCAUUAGUAUAUAGCUGUCAGAGGUGUAAUUCUAGGAUUUACUAAAGACUGACCAAUGCGAAAGCAUUUGCCAAGGAUGUUUUCAUUUAUCAAGAACGAAAGUAGGGGGAUCGAAGACGAUCAGAUACCGUCGUAGUCUCUACCGUAAACUAUGUCGACCAGGCAUCCGGAGAGUUUGCAUGGAUGACUCCCCGGGCACCUUGUGAGGAAUCAUAAGUGUGUGGGACUUGGGGGGAGUAUGGUCGCAAGGCUGAAACUUAAAGGAAUUGACGGAAGGGCACCACCAGGAGUGGAACCUGCGGCUUGAGGUGACUCAACACGGGGAAACUUACGAGGUCAGGACACUGUGAGGAUUGACAGAUUGAAAGCUCUUUCUUGAUUCAGUGGGUGGUGGUGCAUGGCCGUUCUUAGUUGGUGGAGUGAUUUGUCUGGUUAAUUCCGUUAACGAACG